AUAGGUAUGCUGAAAUUGGCAGACAGGUUCCACUUAGGAUGGAAUGGUUUUAUCCGUGCAAGUUCAAGUCUUGCUACCUAUA
RNAcentral lists this transfer RNA (82 nucleotides) under Arthonia quintaria. RNAcentral describes it as "tRNA-Leu". It matches the Rfam family "tRNA". From Rfam's summary of the family: Transfer RNA (tRNA) molecules are approximately 80 nucleotides in length. The record is from RNAcentral. Lineage: Eukaryota; Fungi; Ascomycota; Arthoniomycetes; Arthoniales; Arthoniaceae.